AUGUCAGGGAGUUUCAAGUUAAAGAAGCGGAGCUUUAGCGAGGCCUCGCCGAUUGAUAAGAAAAAGACUGUUAAACAAACCUGCCUGGCCUUUCUUCCAAUCCCUUCUAGGGACCUUUCAAAGAAGUUUCAGUUAAAGAUACAAAAGAAUUCCUAUGCGUCCGCAGCUAAUGAAUCUGAUGGAUGCCAUUUCUUCUGUUCUAUUGUAAUGCUAGCGAAAGGCUUUAAACGAAUCCCUGACUUAAAGGGAAUGGGAAUAAACAACUGGCUUUCUUCUCCUAGUGCAAUCAGUUCUGGCACAAGACAAUCCUGA
Vicia faba (fava bean) is the source of this 312-nucleotide non-coding RNA. NCBI's taxonomy places the organism in Eukaryota, Viridiplantae, Streptophyta, Magnoliopsida, Fabales, Fabaceae. The record is from the annotation of a GenBank genome assembly.